RNAcentral lists this unclassified non-coding RNA (153 nucleotides) under uncultured Fusicolla. RNAcentral describes it as "sequence contains ITS1". Lineage: Eukaryota; Fungi; Ascomycota; Sordariomycetes; Hypocreales; Nectriaceae. The record is from RNAcentral.
CCGAGUUUACAACUCCCAAACCCCUGUGAACAUACCUAUCGUUGCUUCGGCGGGAUCGCCCCGGCGCCCCCGGGCCCGGACCCAGGCGCCCGCCGGAGGACCCAAACUCUGUUUCUACUUUGUAUCUUCUGAGUGGCACAAGCAAAUAAAUUA